Molecule: ribosomal RNA, 497 nt
Filed under: uncultured bacterium
Lineage: Bacteria
Description: partial 16S ribosomal RNA
Rfam family: Bacterial small subunit ribosomal RNA
Source: RNAcentral
GAUGAACGCUGGCGGCGUGCCUAAUACAUGCAAGUCGAGCGAACGGACGAGAAGCUUGCUUCUCUGAUGUCAGCGGCGGACGGGUGAGUAACACGUGGAUAACCUACCUAUAAGACUGGGAUAACUUCGGGAAACCGGAGCUAAUACCGGAUGAUAUUUUGAACCGCAUGGUUCAAAAGUGAAAGACGGUCUUGCUGUCACUUAUAGAUGGAUCCGCGCUGCAUUAGCUAGUUGGUAAGGUAACGGCUUACCAAGGCAACGAUGCAUAGCCGACCUGAGAGGGUGAUCGGCCACACUGGAACUGAGACACGGUCCAGACUCCUACGGGAGGCAGCAGUAGGGAAUCUUCCGCAAUGGGCGAAAGCCUGACGGGGCAACGCCGCGUGAGUGAUGAAGGUCUUCGGAUCGUAAAACUCUGUUAUUAGGGAAGAACAUAUGUGUAAGUAACUGUGCACAUCUUGACGGUACCUAAUCAGAAAGCCACGGCUAACUACGUG